GAUCAUGGCUCAGGACGAACGCUUGCGGCGCGCCUAACACAUGCAAGUCGAACGAGCGAGAGAGAGCUUGCUUUCUCGAGCGAGUGGCGAACGGGUGAGUAACGCGUGAGGAACCUGCCUCAAAGAGGGGGACAACAGUUGGAAACGACUGCUAAUACCGCAUAAGCCCACGGCUCGGCAUCGAGCAGAGGGAAAAAGGAGCAAUCCGCUUUGAGAUGGCCUCGCGUCCGAUUAG
RNAcentral lists this ribosomal RNA (235 nucleotides) under uncultured bacterium. RNAcentral's name for it is "partial 16S ribosomal RNA". It matches the Rfam family "Bacterial small subunit ribosomal RNA", at positions 15 to 244 of the family's 1533-position model. The record is from RNAcentral.